RNAcentral lists this unclassified non-coding RNA (327 nucleotides) under soil metagenome. Its description in RNAcentral is "partial contains 5.8S ribosomal RNA, internal transcribed spacer 2, and large subunit ribosomal RNA". The stretch from base 1 to 120 matches the Rfam family "5.8S ribosomal RNA", at positions 35 to 154 of the family's 154-position model. The record is from RNAcentral.
GAUGAAGAACGUAGCGAAAUGCGAUACGUAAUGUGAAUUGCAGAAUUCCGUGAAUCAUCGAAUCUUUGAACGCACAUUGCGCCCCUUGGUAUUCCGAGGGGCAUGCCUGUUCGAGCGUCAUUAUCACCCCUCAAGCUUUGCUUGGUGUUGGGGCCUGCUGUAAUAGGCAGCCCUUAAAAUCAGUGGCGGUGCUUCAAGGCUCUAAGCGUAGUAAUUCUCCUCGCUAUAGUGUCUAGUGGUUGCCAGCCAGAACCCCCCAAUUUUCAUGAUUGACCUCGGAUCAGGUAGGGAUACCCGCUGAACUUAAGCAUAUCAAUAAGCGGAGGA